This is a long non-coding RNA of Cephus cinctus (wheat stem sawfly), 4600 nucleotides long. RefSeq lists it as uncharacterized. The transcript has 3 exons. The record is from RefSeq and is a predicted model, not a curated record. NCBI's taxonomy places the organism in Eukaryota, Metazoa, Arthropoda, Insecta, Hymenoptera, Cephidae.
UCCGACAGGAUUAGCGAUAGAAAAAAAACUUUUAUUCUUUUAUCGCCAAUUUUUUUUUCAAAUCACGCAAUGCCACUAUCAUUUUUUUUAAAAUCGGCAAAUUUUUUUAACGAUAUUAUAUCAAGCCCCUAUUCCAAUAAGAGCGUCGAAUAUAUUCGUCCGUUUAGUUUGAUUGAACUAUUUCGCAAGAAAUAUGAAAAAAAGCUUUUUUUUUAAAAAUAACUAUAUAUCAUCCAUUGAUCCUGCUUAAUUGCAAAUCGUAUUUAACAGUUCUAGAAAAGCUUCUUAUAUUUACUUAUUGUCGUCAAUGGCAUACGUAUACUUGCUAACGCGAUUAAUACCAGACGAGGUACGCAUAGAAUAUCAUAUACACGUAUAUAGUAACGAGGCUAAUGAUAGUCAUUAUCCCCUCGAUCACGUGUCCCGUCGAAUCAUUUGUUUAUUGGCACAAGUCGCAAUGGUCAUUCGAAUUGAACUUAUUACAUCAUCUCAGCUAUCAAUAGGCCCGGAUAAAAUCGAACUAAUAAAUGAAAUCGUAAAAGUCAUUGAAAACCCGAAUUCUAUUUCCCUACGAUAUCAAUGAAGUAUCGCCUGUUAAAAAUGACCGUUCGAUUCGACCCAUAUAAAGUCUAAUACGUUAGCCAGUGGCAAGUACAGUUGAAAAUAAGAGGGUGGUACGGAGGAGAAGAAAGAAGUACCUAGAUUUAUAAAUGCCGACAGGUUUCCUGGCACGUGAAAUAUUCGUAUCGUAGGAGACGUCAUUUAAAAAUUCAGAGCGCAGAAGUAAACACACCGGUUAGUAAAUACACGCGUCUACUCAACAUAUGUUACAGACGCGUGUUCCGCCGUCCGCACGUGUGUUCGUACGAUCGGUACAUGCAAUGCUAUACGUAUGUACGAUUGUCGUAAAAAUACGCGUGGCAGCCUUGGACGCUCGAGUGACUUCAGGGCGGGUUUCUCGUGGAGCUACUAGGCGCGUGCGAUUGCCGAUAUAGUAAUUUCGAUUACGACUAAAUUGAACGCGAUACGUCGUCAGGCUGGUUCUCGUCGGUUCGUAAAUGGUAUAUCUUCGCGGCCUUGACAGUAAGCGCGCGAUACGAAUGCACAGUGUAAACUCGCUCUUGAUUACGUGCUCGAGUUGUAUUCUUGUGUGGUGGAAAAUGAGCAAGAGAAAAACAUGGAAAACUCAGAGUACUCGUAAACUUCGAGCGAAAGCGAUUACGUUGUAUUAAUAAAUGUUUUUUAAUAUUAUCGAUACGAUAUCGAGACCAGAAAAGAGGGAGAAGCAUUUUAAGCGUUGACGUUCUAAAUUGCGAGAUUCAUUGGUCAUUUUAUGAUAUCGAUGUAAUAUUGAAAAUAGAGAGAAGGGAGGAUCGUUUUGAGUGAAAUUUCGAAUUGACAAGAUUAAAUAAUUAUUACUUUUUUUUUUUUUUUUUCAUCGUUCGAUCGGUAAUAUUUUCAUUUACAAAUGUUAUUUAAUUGCGACGCCAUUCCAUCGAGGGGCCUCUUUAGUGUUAGUUACAACGUAUUAAAGUCCCCUGAGUCUGAAACCGAUCUAAUACGAUCUGUUUACCGUCCAAGCGCUGUCUGCUCAAUGUAAAUAUCAUCUGGAUGGUCGUGUCGUUUGUGUCGCGAGAGAUUAUUUUCUUUUCUUUAAAUACUUUGCUUUUGUCGAUUUUUCCUCUUUUUUCUUCCAUUGUUGUUCAUGCAACGUUCUUAAGAAAAGACGUGACUUUGAAAUAUGUGCGCUUGUUAAAUACGCGUCACGUGGACGUGUGACUGGGUGUAAAUUUCAUAACGUGGGCGAAUACUAUUAUAAUCGCAGUUUUUAAUAGUGUUUACUAAUUUGAGGAAAGGCGGGCAUAUGCGGCAAGAGACUCUUCGUCGCUUAAUAUUACCAUUUAAUGGUCGAGUUUAUUUAAGGUUAGGAUAGGUUAGGACUCAUGAUUAUCCUCAACAAGAGACCGUGACGAGAGCAGCUUCUAAAUAUAAUAUAUAUAUAUAUUAUAUGAUGUAAAAGUUAUCGAAACAAUCCCCAGUCCUGCAAUCUGUUACGUUCAUUAAUUUGUAUAAACAGCUCUCGACGUUAAGUUUUUACAAUUCAUUUUCAAUUAUGUUGUACAAUAUUCGUGCCGUAUUUUUCAAUAUGGAUAAAUUUAAUUUCGAAUUCAUUAUUCAAGUUAUAAUUAAAUUUAUCAAGUGUUGAAAAAGAAAUUCGUCAAUUUGCAAUAUCGUGCAAGCUAAUAAAAUUUCGAAGUCGUAAGAACCGUCGAAUCGUAGAUUCGGGACUUGAUUAGAGAUUGUUUUUUUUUUAAUUUUUAUCAUUUUUUGUUAAAACCCGUCAUUCACGAAGCAAGACCUAGUCUCGCAAUCGGAAUGACACGCUAUUACAUUUUGACGGAUUACGACGCGCGAAAGAUUAGAGUUGAUUUAUUACGAGUUGUCGAUGGAGAACAGAUAACUAAUAACGUAUAAAACUUUCAACUGCAGAUAUUGCUAGAGCGUGAAGUUUUUGGCCUUGCAAAAUCGAAUAACGUCAACUGAUGUACGUAGGUAAUGCAUAAAGUUAUGAAAAAUUUGACAGAGCAAUUUAAGCAAUAAAAAAGUUACUUAAUUACAUUAAAAUAUUUAAAUAAAAUAUUUUUCAUCAUAAAUCUCCAUACGAACAAUAAAUUCGGUCGACGAUACUGAGUUUGAAAGAUUCCAAAAUUUGAGAAUUUAUUAAAUUUGUGAAAAUAAAUAAUAAUUUUCAAAAUCGAAAUCGACCCGUCCAAACUCAAAUUUGUCGUUGUAUCCAAGAGCCUUGAAUCCGAUCGUGAUAAGGUUAAUGUUAAUAGUCAAUACUGUGGGUCUAAAUUACCAACGGACCUUUAACAAGGAACAAUGUUCCUAAAAGUGAUAUAUCAUUGAUGCACGUAACCGUGGAAACUUUUCUCAUGAAUUUCGAGAGGUGCGAGAAAGAUUCGAACUGAUUCACUCGAGUGGAGAUCAAACGAUGACCAAGGCCAAAUCCAUCAGCCAACCCGUUAAAGCCACUCCGUAAGCAUAGAGCGUGUCGAGAUACAAGUUAGUAGGGACACACUGUGGCAACAGUGGCAAACGUUGCUUACUUUGGCAACGCUGGCGACAACCAGUUUCUUUUCCUCCUGCGCCCGACAGGCUUCUCUUCGCUUGCACGCAUACGUAUAGAAGCUUAAUUAGCCAUCGCGCAACACACUGGACGAACGUUAAAUAACUCUGCGUGCUGUUAUCGAACGUGGGCAUCGGAUCCAUUGUCUUCGCUUUAACGCACGGACUAUUGUUUGUUAAUUUACAUCGCCUCGUUGUAUCUUCGCUAAUGAAGGAUAUAGGAUACCGAGAGGCAAAUGUUUCGAAAACUUCUGUUUCUAUGAAUUCUACGUGUUUCUCUACCCACGCAUUGUGGCAGUCUCUGUAUCUGCGUCUGUGAUUUUGUCGGACAUCCGGUGCACAUAAACACACCGGAUAUUACAACUUGUAGAAGAUUUCAUUUCAAUUUUUCAUCUCAUGAAAAACGUGUUUGACGACACUAUGAAAUGAAAUGAUGUCCGAGAAAAAUAAAAAAACUUUAUUGAUGAUAUUAUGAAAUAUUUAAACAUCUUACAAGAAUUGUAAUGUCGGUAAACUCCAUACGGAGUCGAUAAAGAAAAUGUUUUUAAUAGCUAAAAAUCGAUUGCCUGCGAUUUUUUGUAUUUAUAAUAGUAAAAUAAAAAAAUGUCAAUGAGCAACUGAUCGUUCCAUUAAAAUGCGAUGAUUUGAUAACAAAAUAUAGGUCAGUCUGUGAAUUCAAAUUAUUUGUUUGGGUACUCGAUUAUAUAAUUUUCAAGUAAAAUGACAAACGAAAAUGAUGUAAUAUUUCGUUGAGUAAUUGCUACAGAAAAAAUGUCACCGAUUUUAUGUAUUUUUGGAGGGUUACGUUUGCUCGGGGCCCCCAGGUGCCAAUAACAGCCCUGUCGUAGACGUGAAUGAAGGUGUCACAGACAUCUUGUCUGGCAAGUUCUUAUUAUGAUAAGUAUAUCUAGCGACUGUCGCGACGUUAAUUUCGUCAAUGAUGUGAAGAGAGCCUAAGGCGUCGCGAGGGUGGUAAAGAGGGGCGAGCGGACGCUGCCAGUUCUAAAAAUUGUUGGAAAAAUUCACGAGUUGGCCGAGUGACAACGUUGUGUCAGUAACCCCUCGCAGAAUAACUGCCUGUUUCGAAUCAAUAAUCAAAGUUAAUAAAUCUGUAGAUCGACAUUGAGCGUAUAUGUUUAUAAUUAAUGUCCAAAAAAGAGGAUUUUGUCGAGGAGAAUUGAAAGUUUUCAAACCCCAUAGCACGUUACAGGGAAGAAUGACGUAAGUCUAUAAUAAUAAUUUGUCCUAUAAUCAUUUUCCAAUUAGUAUCAGAUAAUGAUAAAAAAAUUGGAUUAAUCUUACAAAUAAAAAUAUAAUGCUAUUUUUGUAUUCUUAGCAGUGAAACGUGCUGAAAUGGUGAUAAAAUAAAAAUUGGAUUUGGUUCAACUUUUUAAUUGAUUAAAUAUCGAUAAUAAAUACGUCUACUAUUGUGAAGAAAGUUUGUUAACAGAUUGUCCAGAAUUCAUGAAUC